This 253-nucleotide ribosomal RNA is filed under the name uncultured bacterium. Its description in RNAcentral is "partial 16S ribosomal RNA". It matches the Rfam family "Bacterial small subunit ribosomal RNA", at positions 524 to 776 of the family's 1533-position model. The record is from RNAcentral.
UACGGAGGAUCCGAGCGUUAUCCGGAUUUAUUGGGUUUAAAGGGAGCGUAGGCGGGUUGUUAAGUCAGUUGUGAAAGUUUGCGGCUCAACCGUAAAAUUGCAGUUGAUACUGGCCUCCUUGAGUACAGUAGAGGUAGGCGGAAUUCGUGGUGUAGCGGUGAAAUGCUUAGAUAUCACGAAGAACUCCGAUUGCGAAGGCAGCCUGCUGGACUGUAACUGACGCUGAUGCUCGAAAGUGUGGGUAUCAAACAGG